UACGUAGGGUCCAAGCGUUAUCCGGAAUCACUGGGCGUAAAGCGUGCGUAGGCGGCGUGUUAAGUGUGAUGUUAAAUCGUGUGGCUCAACCAUAUCGAUGCAUCGCAUACUGGCAUGCUUGAGGGAGGCAGAGGCAAGUGGAAUUGGCAGUGUAGCAGUGAAAUGCGUAGAUAUUGCCAGGAACACCAAUGGCGAAGGCAGCUUGCUGGGCCUUCUCUGACGCUGAGGUACGAAAGCGUGGGGAGCGAACAGG
This 253-nucleotide ribosomal RNA is filed under the name uncultured bacterium. Its description in RNAcentral is "partial 16S ribosomal RNA". It matches the Rfam family "Bacterial small subunit ribosomal RNA", at positions 524 to 776 of the family's 1533-position model. The record is from RNAcentral.